Long non-coding RNA from Bos taurus (domestic cattle), 479 nucleotides. The record is from Ensembl. NCBI's taxonomy places the organism in Eukaryota, Metazoa, Chordata, Mammalia, Artiodactyla, Bovidae.
AUUAAUAAAACACAUAUGCGACGUGCCACUCAGAGCAUUCCGUGGAGAGAAAACGAGUUUCCCCACCAGGUGAAUAAAAUUUCACCCAGAGGCAGGCAACAAACCACCUUCUGGUCUGGGAAUCGUGGGCGCUGCACUUGACAGCCCAGUCGCUGGGCCUCUGCCGCUAAGCCAGCCGCCUGCCCUGAGUCUCCGAAGUUGGAGGAGACCAUUUCAGCUGCUCCCGGCUUGCCUUGCUGUCCCCGCUGGAAUCAGCAGACCCUGACUUUUGGAGAAGCGUUACUGCGAUGUGUCAGCUGCUCCGGGAGAGCCCAGAGUGAUGUAUUCCAAGACCUGUCAGGAGAAAGGGUUUAUGGAGUGACCAUCCUGUGGCUACAACUCUCAAGACUGUUGUUUUAGCAAAACCCUAAUGGAACUGGACUAGUUCAUCACGAGGUCCUGCUGACUCCCUUCCCAGACUGUCUCAGCAAGCCCACUGC